Molecule: small RNA, 120 nt
Filed under: Salmonella enterica
Lineage: Bacteria; Pseudomonadati; Pseudomonadota; Gammaproteobacteria; Enterobacterales; Enterobacteriaceae
Description: RtT sRNA
Rfam family: RtT RNA
About the family: This family represents a bacterial cis-regulatory element known as RtT RNA. The exact function of RtT is unknown although it is thought that it may be involved in changing the cellular response in relation to amino acid starvation.
Source: RNAcentral
GACGAGGAUGAGAACCUCCGGGGGCAAGAGGUUCGACCCGAGCGCAGCGAGAGAACGUUGCUUCAGCAACGGCCCGCAGGGCGAGCCACGCAGUGGCGAGUCAUCCUCUAUCACCGACCA